GGCAUGCCUAACACAUGCAAGUCGAACGAGACCUUCGGGUCUAGUGGCGCACGGGUGCGUAACGCGUGGGAAUCUGCCCUUAGGUUCGGAAUAACAGUGGGAAACUACUGCUAAUACCGGAUGAUGACGUAAGUCCAAAGAUUUAUCGCCUAGGGAUGAGCCCGCGUAGGAUUAGCUAGUUGGUGGGGUAAAGGCCUACCAAGGCGACGAUCCUUAGCUGGUCUGAGAGGAUGAUCAGCCACACUGGGACUGAGACACGGCCCAGACUCCUACGGGAGGCAGCAGUGGGGAAUAUUGGACAAUGGGCGAAAGCCUGAUCCAGCAAUGCCGCGUGAGUGAUGAAGGCCUUAGGGUUGUAAAGCUCUUUUACCCGGGAAGAUAAUGACUGUACCGGGAGAAUAAGCCCCGGCUAACUCCGUGCCAGCAGCCGCGGUAAUACGGAGGGGGCUAGCGUUGUUCGGAAUUACUGGGCGUAAAGCGUACGUAGGCGGCUUUUUAAGUUAGAGGUGAAAGCCCGGGGCUCAACUCCGGAAUUGCCUUUAAGACUGGAUCGCUUGAACGUCGGAGAGGUGAGUGGAAUUCCGAGUGUAGAGGUGAAAUUCGUAGAUAUUCGGAAGACACCAGUGGCGA
RNAcentral lists this ribosomal RNA (630 nucleotides) under uncultured Alphaproteobacteria bacterium. RNAcentral describes it as "bacterial SSU rRNA". It matches the Rfam family "Bacterial small subunit ribosomal RNA", at positions 41 to 718 of the family's 1533-position model. Lineage: Bacteria; Pseudomonadati; Pseudomonadota; Alphaproteobacteria. The record is from RNAcentral.